GCGCUUAAUAAACACCAACAUUAUCAUCAUCACCUCCCCCAGCGCUUCGAUCGGUGCUCGGCACCUAGAAAGCGCUUAACAAACACCCCCAUCAUCAUCAUCUCCCCUAACGUUCAGAAGCGUGCUCGGCCGCUCGCAAGCGCUGGACAAAGCGGCCCCCGUUAUCACCAUCACCUCCCCCCGCGCCUCGAAAGGGCGGGAGAAAGGGCACCGUGCCCAUGGCGACCGUUUCCACGGAAACGAGGGGCGGGGCGGGGCUCCUCCCCGGGCUGCCUCAGUUUCCCGCCGCCCGUGGGGCCCCGCGCGGGGCCGGCCCUCCCUCCCUCCCUCCCCCCCCUCCACGAAGCGCUGUGCGCCUACCGCUCGUCGUCGUCGUCGUCGUCGUCGUCGUCGUCGUCCUCCCUCCCUCCUCCCUCCGCCUCAGGCUCCCGCCCGCUCCCGGCCUGCCCCGCGCGCCCACGUGCCGCGCCCCUUCCGCCCGGCGCGCGGCGCGCGCAGCCGGCCGGGGGCCUUCCGGGUCGGGGCGGCCGCGGCGGCCGCUGGGUAACCGCCUCCUCCCCCCCCCCUCCCCGCCCGCCCCCGGGGCGCGCGCGCGCGCGCGCGCGGCCUCCCUCCCCCUCCUCCCCCGCCCCCGCGCCCCCGGCCCUCCACCAAUCAGCGGGCCGGCAGGGAGGGACAUGCGCAGUGGGCGCCUCCCCUCUCCUCCAGCCCAGCCCCCCCCCCACCUCCUCCUCCUGUCUCUCUCUCCUGUCUCUCCCUCCUGUCUCUCCUGUCUCUCCUGUCUCUCCCCCCUCCCCUCCCUUUCCCCCCCCCACCCCCCCACCCCCCCUUGCAGCAGCAGCAGCAGAGGAGGAGGAUGAGGAGGAGGAGGGGAGAGAGGCAGGCUGGGGGGGGCCUCCUUUGAUUGCUCUUUUUUUUUCCCAAGGACCAGCCCCCCCCCCCCACCCAGUUGGAGCCCCCCCCCCCCACUUCCACCUUGAAUUGGGGGGGGGGGGUGAGGGUGGGGAGGAUGCAGGGCAGGACAGGCCCACUUGCCACCCUCCACCCCUGAGCCCUGGGGGGGUGGGGGGGAGGGAAGAGAGAGAGCCAAGGAAGAAGAGGAGCAGUUCUUUUUCUUCUUCUGCCCCCCCCAUCCUCUUCCUCCUCCCUGCAGCCCCCCAGGAUUGGAAGGGGGAGCCCCAAAGCCUCCUAGCAACCCAGCCUGGGCUGCUGCUUGGUCCUGGCUGGAGACACUCACAGACUCACACACACACACACACACACACACACACACACACAUCUCUACUGGGAGACCCAGGAAAAGCCACUCCUCCCCACCCCCUUCCCUCUCCCCCCCCCUUUAUUACCCUUUGUGUCAUCCUCCACAGCUCCAGGGAUGAGGGACUCUGGAAGUGGGGAGCAGGAAAGUUUUAGAUGCUCAUCGAGACUUAUCCUUUCCUGGAUUGGUGAACUAGUUGCCGAGGAAUCCGUCGUUCCCGGGCCAGAGCUCUGAAAGUCGCUACUGAGGCAGCCCAGGUAGGUGACGAGUCCGGCCACACGGACGGAUUCGGGAAAUAACCGGGGCCCGCCGGACAUUCCCGUCGCCCGCCACGCCUGCCGUUCGUCCCCUUACCCCCGUCAACUUCCGUCAGGCACAGACUCUCUCUCCUCCACUCUGCCUUCCUUCCCCGAAACGUCACGUUCGGUCUGUUGCCGGCGAUCCUGGCUACGGCAGUCCGGACGGCGAAAAUGGAGGUAGGCCGAACGGGCGGAAAAAAACGUAUCCCGGCGAAAUGAAGGGAUUUCCGACGAUCUGGCCGCACACGACUCAGUCGUCAGUGAGAAAUCGACGAGGUGAAAAUGGUCCGCUGGGGAAAUUAAUGGAGAGAAAAUAGGCGAGUCCCCCCCCAGAAUGUAUUACCUCCGGAAUAAAUUUCUCACCCCAACGCGCGUUGCAUUUUGCAACCACCCGACCUCUCUCAACCCUUCAGCCGCCUGUCUGAUCACAGACUCCCACAGAAGAACGCACCCACUUCUCUAGGUCUCCCACAGUGAGUUUGCCUGCCGUAGCCUUAUCGAUUAAUCGGUGGUAAAUGUAUGAGCACUUAUUUCCUCCGCAAUCCGCCAUUCCAGCGGAAGGGCGAGGACCGCACCUCACUUUACCCCAGACCCCCCACGUGAAUACUAGAUUACUUGGUCGUUAC
RNAcentral lists this long non-coding RNA (2183 nucleotides) under Ornithorhynchus anatinus (platypus). RNAcentral's name for it is "lncRNA (ENSOANG00000049336.1)". Lineage: Eukaryota; Metazoa; Chordata; Mammalia; Monotremata; Ornithorhynchidae. The record is from RNAcentral.